Molecule: long non-coding RNA, 3991 nt
Organism: Mustela lutreola (European mink)
Lineage: Eukaryota; Metazoa; Chordata; Mammalia; Carnivora; Mustelidae
Exons: 8
Source: RefSeq, a predicted model, not a curated record
AGCAGAGAUGGCUUUGUUUAAGGCUGGGAGACAACCAGGCAGAACUUGGCUUCCUUCACCAUUAGAAGCAGUUGGCCUGACUUAGGAGGUAUCAGAAUUGGAAUGGAGAGAAAGUGGUUCCUGGCAGCCUCAGGACCUUGCUGGGCCCCCAGGAUGGACUGGAAAUGUCCAGGUACUGACCAGCCUUUGGGAAUAGAUGAAAGAAGGGGUUGAUCUUCAGGCUUGAAUUCUGCCUCAACACAGCCCUUCCUCCUUUUGAGGUGCCCAACAAAGAGAGCUAUCAACCUGGAGCUUCUAAUGUAAAAGAUCCUGGAGCUGGCAGAGUUGACAAAAGACACCAGGGCAGGCACUGCAAACCCAGCGAACCCACAAAACGAACCGAAGAUGAUUCAAGAAAACAUGUCAGAGAGGGUCUGCCAAGAUGUUGGGUCACAUCAAGUCUGGGAUCCAUCAACAGAGAUCUACAGUGUGGAGCAGUGGAGGCUGCACAGAAGAGCUGGGCUCAAGGAGGAUACAGGGCUUGUGCUGAGAAGACCCAGUGUCACCUUCCCAGGGAAUGACGAAUCCUAUGACGCUCAAGUGUGCUUUCUGAAAGGAGUUCAAGAAACAGAAGCAAUUUGAGAUUGGGGUUAAACCUGGCUCUGUCUUCACUGCAGGUAUUUUCUAUUUUAUUUACUUACUAGAGAGAGUCAGAGAGAGUGACAGAGUGCAUGAGCAGGAGGAGAGGAAGGAGCAGGCUCCCCACUGAGCAGGGAGCUCGAUGCGGGGCUCAAUCCCAGGACCCCAAGAUCAUGACCUGAGCCGAAGGCAAACGUUUAACCAACUGGGCCAGCCAGGUACCCCUUUUCUCCCUUUUCUUUUCUUUUUCCUUUUUAAAGAUUUUAUUUUCAUGGUGCCAUCUUGAUCACUGACAACCACAAACCUUCUUAUGUGACAGAGCUGUGGUUUGAACACAGACUUGGAUAUGCCAGCCUAAACUUGGUUAUGCUGAGACAGGGCCAAUAAAAGCUGAGAAAUUGGCUUAGUCUUCCUGAAGAUACAGGCUACACAUGCAAGUAUAUCAUAGUUGUUAUUUUUGAACAGGCAAUAACUCAUUAAAGGAACUUUUUUUUAUCAUUUUAUCUAUCAUUUUCAUUUCUUUUAUCUCAUUUAUAUAUUUACAUGUUUCUAUAUAAAUACAUAUUUAUAUAUAAUAAAAAUUAUAUAUUUAUCCAUCAUUAUUAUCAUGGUAAUAUAAUAUAAUAAUAUAAUGAUAUCCAUUAUUAUCACUGAUUAAUAUUAUUAAUGGAAAAUUUUAAUCUAGAACUUAACUAUAUUCCAUGCAAAGUGCUUUUUGUGCCUUAUCUCAUCUAAUACACACAUGUACACAAACAGGAUCUGAUAAAGCAGAUGCAAGCAUCAUCCCCAUUUUACAGGUGACAAAAUUAAGGCUUUAAAUACUGUAUAGCCCAAACAGUCUUGAAAAAGAACAAAGUUGGAGGACUCCCAUUCCCUGAUUUUAGAACUUAACUACAAAGCUGCAGUAAUUGAAACAAUGUGGUUCUGGCCCAAAGACAGAUAUGUCGACCAACAGAUUAGAAUAGAGAGCCUAGAAAUAAACUCUUGUGUUUUUGGUCACAUGAACUGUUGACAAGGGAGCCAAGAGACAUGCAAUGAGAGGAAAGACCAUCUUAUCGACACAUGCUGCUGGGGAAACUGGGCAUAAGCUUGCAAAUAAUAACCCUUACCUAACGCCAUAUACAAAAAUUAGCUCCAGUUGGAGCAAGGAUCUCCACAUAAGAGCUACAAUGAUAAGACUCUUAGAAGAAAACAGGACAACAGCUUCAUGAGGUUGGAGUUGGCAAUGACUUCUUGGAUGCAACACCAGAGGCACAGGUAAUUAAAGAAUUGUACAAACUGGACUUCAUGAAAAUUAAAAAAUUGUGUGCAUUGAAAGACACGGUCAAUGGAGGAAUGAGGCAACCCAUAAAAUGCGAGAUGAUAUUUGCAAAUCAUAGCUGAUAAGGGAUUAAUAUCCAGAAUAUAAAUAUAUAUAUACAUAUAUAUAUAUUUAUGAUUAAAACACAACGACAGGAAAACUCAAACAGCCCAGUGGACAAAGCACUUGAGUAGAUGUUUCUCCAAGGAAUACACACAAAUGGCUGUUAUUCACAUGAAAAGAUGGCACUAAUUAGUAGGGAAACACAGACAAAACCACAAUGAGAUGAUGCUUCACACCUGUUGUAGGACGGCAAUUAUCAAAAAACAAACAAACAGAAAAUAACAAGGGCAGAAGAGGAUGUGGGGAGAUUGGAGCCCUGUGCCCCAUUGGUGGGCACGUGUUCCAGUCAUUGUGCAAAACUAGUUGGUAGUUGCUUCAAAAACUAAAUAUAGGAUUAUCAUAAGGUCCAGCAAUUUCACUUCUAGAUAUAUAUCUAAAAGAUCAGGUGAAAUCUCCAAAGAUCCUUGUUCACUCGUGCUCAGAGCAGGAUUACUCAUAAUAGUUAAAAGGCAGAAGCAACCAAAUGUCGAGGAACAGGUAUACAGAAUGUGGUGUACGCAUAUAAGGGAAUAUUAAUCAGUCCCCAAAGAGAAGGGAAUUUCAACAUAUGCUACAGCAUGGAUAAAUCUUGAAGACAUUAUGCUGAGUAAAGUAAACGGUGAACCAGUCACCAAAGGGCAAAUAUGGUAUGGCUCCCCAUAUGGGAAAUGCUGAGAGUAGUCAAAUUCACAGAGACAGAAAGUAGGACAGUAGUUGCCAGGGGCUGGGAGGAAGGGAGAAGACGGAGUUAGUGUUAAUGGUGUGAUGGUUAAUUUUAUGGCCACGGGGCUGCCCAGAUAUCAGGUUAAGCAUUAUUUCUGGAUGUGCCUUCGAGGCUGUGGAGAGCCCGGACUAAUAUAAAUGGAUACAGGGUUUCUGUUUUGCAAGGCAAGAAGGGUUCUGGAGAUGGAUGGUGGGGAAGUCUGGAUCGUGUAUAAUGCCACUGAACUGUGCCUUGAAAAACAAUUAAAACGAUAAAUUUUAUGUUAUAUGUAUUUUCCCAUAAUUAAAAAAAAUGGGGGAACAAAAGAAUAGCGCAAUUUGCUCUCAGCCACACAACUAGCAGAUGAUGGAGUUUGGAUUUAAAGUCGGAAUUUUGGAACACUGAAAAAAAUAAAAUUAAGGUGUUAAAAAAAAAUAAUAAAGCCAUGGCUUAAAUAGCUAUGUAAAAAAAAAAAAAAAAUUAAAAAAAAGAAAAUAAAGUUGGGUCUUUGGGAUUCCAAAGUUCUGAUUCAACACCAGGCAGUGGGUCUGUCUGUGGGACUGAGGCUGAUCAUAGGUUGCUUUAUAGAAUAUUUUACAGUUGAGGUGGCUGGCUUUGUGCCCUGCUACUCUGAGAACCCUGGGAAACAACCACCCACAAGGCAGAGAGAGCGGGGGCUGGGGUUGGGCCUUGGGGAAGUCUGCACAACCCCAGACGGGAAGCCAUAGGGAUAGUAAACAGGUGGGGCAUGGACCCUGGUCACCAUUCCCUCUGUGUUCCCCUACGUAUCUGCAGCUUCCCAAGCACAAGGCUUUAUCUGCUAUGGCCCGUGGGAGGUGGGGAGGAUGGAGGCCAUUCCUGACCCCAGGCUCCUCCUCUCUGCAGCUCAGCCGCCGUGCCUUCUGCCCCUGCUGCAGAGCAUAUAAGAAAGAAAUUGGGAUCUGGUGGGGGAAAUGACCCAAAUGAGAUAGAAAUCCCUCACGGCACCUGGAAAAUUCUACUGUCUAAGUGGGAAUAUGAAGGAUGGUGACAGAACAGAUACCAAGUUCACAAAUGUGGGAAAAUGUCUUUCUCUGUCACCCUCAGUUUUCAGGGACAGACACUGGGACAAGGUGCCAGUAGCUUUUUAGCAACCGCUGCUGAUGUUUUAUGAAUCUACUGUGUGUCAGGUAGCCUGUUGUUUGCCCUCUUCCUCCACCUUCAGGAAUAGUGGUUGGAAAUUACUAGUUGGUUCCUCUCUCCCUUGGGUCCCAUGACAUACCACAGAA